RNAcentral lists this long non-coding RNA (1085 nucleotides) under Actinidia chinensis (golden kiwifruit). RNAcentral describes it as "long non-coding RNA (ACHI_LNC005395)". Lineage: Eukaryota; Viridiplantae; Streptophyta; Magnoliopsida; Ericales; Actinidiaceae. The record is from RNAcentral.
AAAAGUGAACGAUUUUGAUCAACAUCUUAUGCAAGUAUGUGACCAAAAAAUAAUCAAUUUCAUAUUAAAAUUGAGACAUCCAACUUUAGCAAAUCCGAAUUCUAACAAUUUUACCUCUUCUUGCAUAGAGAUAAUUGAAAUUGCCUUGUCAAGACUCGAGACUCAUCAGUUACACAAGGGGUUAAAUAUUACUAAUACUAUCUUCAAAAUAGAGAAUAAUCCUAAAUAUUUCUAUCUUUAGUCUACCAAAAUUUAAAAAAUAAAUUGAAUCUUUAUUUGGAAGCCCCAUUCAAAAUGUAUAGAUCAUUCUCAAUCUAUUUUCACUAAAAAAUAUUCACUGUAUCUUUGAAAUGAGAGAUACUUUUGAUAGGUUUAAUAAAUAAUUAAAAAUAAAUUUUAAAAAUAAAAAUUUGAAGAAUAGUAAGAAAUAGCUAAGUUUAUAGAGAGAUGAGUGAGUUUUUUAAAAUUUAAAGAUAAAAAUAAUAUUAUUUAAAAUUGUUAAUUUUGAGAAUAUUAACUUAGCAAAUACUAAACCCUAGUUUUGAAGUAAAAUGUUUUUUGCCUUUUAUUUUUGGCCAAUUUAUUUUACUUUUCCAAUUCAUAUUGAAUGGAAGUACCGAAAAAGUAAAAAUAAUAAUAUUUUUUUAAAAAUAAAUUCACUAAAUUCUAAAUUAAUUAAAAAUAAAAUUAAAUUGUUCAAAAAAAUUUAUUCUUUUAUAUAUAUUUUAAAAAUAUUUAUACACUUUUCACGCAAUCUCAUACGGUUAACUUAUAAGGUAGUGAUUAUCAUUUAUAUCACUUUAUCUAACAUAACUGACAGGAGAGUGCAUUGUAAUUUCAGAAACUAAGUAGAAAAUCUCCGUGUUUGUAAUUAUUAUUUUAUAUCAUUUUUUAUCCGAUUGACAGAACAGUGCACUGUAAUUUCAGGAACUAGUGGAGAAAAUCUGUGUUUGUGAGUAACUACAAAGGAGUUAUGUGUAAUUUGACCAAAUAUAUUUUUAUAUGAACCCAAAAGUAAAGGCAAAGAAAAGAUUAUUCGCGCACUAUGGCAUAGUUCAAUUGGCAAAACACCUGAUAGAUUGCUU